This 508-nucleotide ribosomal RNA is filed under the name uncultured bacterium. Its description in RNAcentral is "partial 16S ribosomal RNA". It matches the Rfam family "Bacterial small subunit ribosomal RNA", at positions 30 to 523 of the family's 1533-position model. The record is from RNAcentral.
AUUGAACGCUGGCGGCAUGCCUUACACAUGCAAGUCGAACGGCAGCGGGGGAGAAGCUUGCUUUUCCUGCCGGCGAGUGGCGAACGGGUGAGUAAUACAUCGGAACGUGCCCUGUAGUGGGGGAUAACUAGUCGAAAGAUUAGCUAAUACCGCAUACGACCUGAGGGUGAAAGUGGGGGACCGCAAGGCCUCAUGCUAUAGGAGCGGCCGAUGUCUGAUUAGCUAGUUGGUGGGGUAAAGGCCUACCAAGGCGACGAUCAGUAGCUGGUCUGAGAGGACGAUCAGCCAAACUGGGACUGAGACACGGCCCAGACUCCUACGGGAGGCAGCGGUGGGGAAUUUUGGACAAUGGGCGAAAGCCUGAUCCAGCAAUGCCGCGUGUGUGAAGAAGGCCUUCGGGUUGUAAAGCACUUUUGUCCGGAAAGAAAUGGCUCUGGUUAAUACCUGGGGUCGAUGACGGUACCGGAAGAAUAAGGACCGGCUAACUACGUGCCAGCCGCCGCAGUAA